RNAcentral lists this transfer RNA (71 nucleotides) under Onomarchus uninotatus. Its description in RNAcentral is "tRNA-Val". Lineage: Eukaryota; Metazoa; Arthropoda; Insecta; Orthoptera; Tettigoniidae. The record is from RNAcentral.
CAAAAUAGAACUUUAUAGUGAAGUAUUUCAUUUACAUUGAAAAGGUUUCUGUGCGAUUCGGGAUGUUUUGA